RNAcentral lists this long non-coding RNA (992 nucleotides) under Vigna radiata. RNAcentral describes it as "long non-coding RNA (VRAD_LNC014672)". The record is from RNAcentral. Lineage: Eukaryota; Viridiplantae; Streptophyta; Magnoliopsida; Fabales; Fabaceae.
GAAACAAUAAUCCCAACAUGAUAGAGAACAUCAAAGUAAAUGAAAAUACUAAACCUAACACUGCUACAAAUAAAUAUCCAAACACAAUUGAAACUAUUAAAAUGCAACGAGUAAACUAAACAUUAAAAAUAAUUCGUCACAGAAAUAGCACAAAGAAAACGUGUAAAUAAUAGACUAAAUUGAAAAUAUUAAAUAAGUUGAAAUGAAUUUAAAAGUGCUGAACGAAAUUAACAUGUAGACUAAAAAGAAAUAAUGAUCCUCGGUCCAAGCAUGAAGAAAGAAGAAAUUCAAGGGAACCUAAUGAAGCUCUCCUCUCCAAGACCUAACCCAUGUGCUCACCAAAAUCCAUUAACUUGAAUACUCAACUUAAAAGUAAUAACCAUGCCGUCAUGAAAAAUGAAUCAGCACCCAUGUUCUUCAACUAAUUAUGAAUGAAUCACGCCCUUCCUAAAACCAAUAUAUGAAGUAGCGGCUGACUCCAUGCUGAAAUAAGCGAAAAUCAAUUCUCUAAAAAGCUGAAUGAAAUGAUGCGCCUCUUCUUCAAAGGAAAGGAAAUAUGCUACUCAAAAAUUCCAUCCCAGGAUCAACCCGUAACCACACAGCUGAAAUAAAAGUGCACGCUUUUUUUUCUUUAAAUAGAAAGAGAAUCCCGAGGCUGUCACCACUUCUCCAUAUCCGUCUCAUUCAACCAAUGCCCCUCUAGGUGGCGGCUCCCACCUCCUCUGUCCCCCUAGGGUAGCAUGUCCUUAAAAUGAAAAUCCAUUCUCCUUUUUUCACAUGGGCUGCUGCCGUGUGAUUAUGUGGACCUGCAUGGAUGCAAUUGAUUCUCCCCCAAGCUUGCUGUUUGCACCUCCAAGGUGGACAUUCAUCUAUGUGGGCCGUGAGCUGCUUCAGCCCAAGUGAAGUUGUGGAUGGACGCAACAGUUAAUUGCCACAGCUAGACACGCUGCUUUCUCCAUAUUACCGUGCUAAUAUGUUGGUCAUCUUGUCAC